AGCUCCAAUAGCGUAUAUUAAAGUUGUUGUGGUUAAAAAGCUCGUAGUUGGAUCUCGGCGGUCUGAGGGCGGUUCGCUUCAGAGCGCUACUGCCCUAUAGACCGUAGUUUUGCCAGAGGUCUCAGGGUGCUCUUAACCGAGUGUCUUGCGAUGCUGGCAGGUUUACUUUGAAAAAAUUAGAGUGCUCAAAGCAGGCUUUUACGCCUGAAUAUUCGUGCAUGGAAUAAUAGAAUAGGAAGUCGUUUCUAUUUUGUUGGUUUUCGGAAAUCGACUUAAUGAUUAAUAGGGACAGUCGGGGGCAUUUGUAUUCAAACGACAGAGGUGAAAUUCUUGGACCGUUUGAAGACAAACUACUGCGAAAGCAUUUGCCAAGAAUGUUUUCAUUA
RNAcentral lists this ribosomal RNA (386 nucleotides) under Pseudocalanus sp. Its description in RNAcentral is "partial small subunit ribosomal RNA". It matches the Rfam family "Eukaryotic small subunit ribosomal RNA", at positions 587 to 975 of the family's 1831-position model. The record is from RNAcentral. Lineage: Eukaryota; Metazoa; Arthropoda; Copepoda; Calanoida; Clausocalanidae.